GGUUAAGCGACUAAGCGUACACGGUGGAUGCCCUGGCAGUCAGAGGCGAUGAAGGACGUGCUAAUCUGCGAAAAGCGUCGGUAAGGUGAUAUGAACCGUUAUAACCGGCGAUGUCCGAAUGGGGAAACCCAGUGCAAUUCGUUGCACUAUCGUUAACUGAAUACAUAGGUUAACGAGGCGAACCGGGGGAACUGAAACAUCUAAGUACCCCGAGGAAAAGAAAUCAACCGAGAUUCCCCCAGUAGCGGCGAGCGAACGGGGAGCAGCCCAGAGUCUGAAUCAGCUUGUGUGUUAGUGGAACGGUCUGGAAAGUCCGACGGUACAGGGUGAUAGUCCCGUACACCAAAAUGCACAGGUUGUGAACUCGAAGAGUAGGGCGGGACACGUGGUAUCCUGUCUGAAUAUGGGGGGACCAUCCUCCAAGGCUAAAUACUCCUGACUGACCGAUAGUGAACCAGUACCGUGAGGGAAAGGCGAAAAGAACCCCGGCGAGGGGAGUGAAAAAGAACCUGAAACCGUGUACGUACAAGCAGUGGGAGCACCUUCGGGUGUGACUGCGUACCUUUUGUAUAAUGGGUCAGCGACUUAUAUUCUGUAGCAAGGUUAACCGUAUAGGGGAGCCGCAGGGAAACCGAGUCUUAACUGGGCGUUAAGUUGCAGGGUAUAGACCCGAAACCCGGUGAUCUAGCCAUGGGCAGGUUGAAGGUUGGGUAACACUAACUGGAGGACCGAACCGACUAAUGUUGAAAAAUUAGCGGAUGACUUGUGGCUGGGGGUGAAAGGCCAAUCAAACCGGGAGAUAGCUGGUUCUCCCCGAAAGCUAUUUAGGUAGCGCCUCGUGAAUUCAUCUUCGGGGGUAGAGCACUGUUUCGGCUAGGGGGUCAUCCCGACUUACCAACCCGAUGCAAACUACGAAUACCGAAGAAUGUUAUCACGGGAGACACACGGCGGGUGCUAACGUCCGUCGUGAAGAGGGAAACAACCCAGACCGCCAGCUAAGGUCCCAAAGUCAUGGUUAAGUGGGAAACGAUGUGGGAAGGCACAGACAGCCAGGAUGUUGGCUUAGAAGCAGCCAUCAUUUAAAGAAAGCGUAAUAGCUCACUGGUCGAGUCGGCCUGCGCGGAAGAUGUAACGGGGCUAAACCAUGCACCGAAGCUGCGGCAGCGACACUAUGUGUUGUUGGGUAGGGGAGCGUUCUGUAAGCCUGCGAAGGUGACCUGUGAGGGUUGCUGGAGGUAUCAGAAGUGCGAAUGCUGACAUAAGUAACGAUAAAGCGGGUGAAAAGCCCGCUCGCCGGAAGACCAAGGGUUCCUGUCCAACGUUAAUCGGGGCAGGGUGAGUCGACCCCUAAGGCGAGGCCGAAAGGCGUAGUCGAUGGGAAACAGGUUAAUAUUCCUGUACUUGGUGUUACUGCGAAGGGGGGACGGAGAAGGCUAUGUUAGCCGGGCGACGGUUGUCCCGGUUUAAGCAUGUAGGCUGAUUGUCCAGGCAAAUCCGGAUAAUCAAGGCUGAGGUGUGAUGACGAGGCACUACGGUGCUGAAGUAACAAAUGCCCUGCUUCCAGGAAAAGCCUCUAAGCAUCAGGUAACAUUAAAUCGUACCCCAAACCGACACAGGUGGUCAGGUAGAGAAUACCAAGGCGCUUGAGAGAACUCGGGUGAAGGAACUAGGCAAAAUGGUGCCGUAACUUCGGGAGAAGGCACGCUGGUGUGUAGGUGAAGUCCCUGCGGAUGGAGCUGAGACCAGUCGAAGAUACCAGCUGGCUGCAACUGUUUAUUAAAAACACAGCACUGUGCAAACACGAAAGUGGACGUAUACGGUGUGACGCCUGCCCGGUGCCGGAAGGUUAAUUGAUGGGGUUAUCCGUAAGGAGAAGCUCUUGAUCGAAGCCCCGGUAAACGGCGGCCGUAACUAUAACGGUCCUAAGGUAGCGAAAUUCCUUGUCGGGUAAGUUCCGACCUGCACGAAUGGCGUAAUGAUGGCCAGGCUGUCUCCACCCGAGACUCAGUGAAAUUGAACUCGCUGUGAAGAUGCAGUGUACCCGCGGCAAGACGGAAAGACCCCGUGAACCUUUACUAUAGCUUGACACUGAACAUUGAGCCUUGAUGUGUAGGAUAGGUGGGAGGCUUUGAAGCGUGGACGCCAGUCUGCGUGGAGCCAACCUUGAAAUACCACCCUUUAAUGUUUGAUGUUCUAACGUUGGCCCCUUACCGGGGUUGCGGACAGUGUCUGGUGGGUAGUUUGACUGGGGCGGUCUCCUCCCAAAGCGUAACGGAGGAGCACGAAGGUUAGCUAAUCCUGGUCGGACAUCAGGAGGUUAGUGCAAUGGCAUAAGCUAGCUUGACUGCGAGCGUGACGGCGCGAGCAGGUGCGAAAGCAGGUCAUAGUGAUCCGGUGGUUCUGAAUGGAAGGGCCAUCGCUCAACGGAUAAAAGGUACUCCGGGGAUAACAGGCUGAUACCGCCCAAGAGUUCAUAUCGACGGCGGUGUUUGGCACCUCGAUGUCGGCUCAUCACAUCCUGGGGCUGAAGUAGGUCCCAAGGGUAUGGCUGUUCGCCAUUUAAAGUGGUACGCGAGCUGGGUUUAGAACGUCGUGAGACAGUUCGGUCCCUAUCUGCCGUGGGCGCUGGAGAAUUGAGGGGGGCUGCUCCUAGUACGAGAGGACCGGAGUGGACGCAUCACUGGUGUUCGGGUUGUCAUGCCAAUGGCACUGCCCGGUAGCUAAAUGCGGAAGAGAUAAGUGCUGAAAGCAUCUAAGCACGAAACUUGCCCCGAGAUGAGUUCUCCCUGAGACUUUAAGUCUCCUGAAGGAACGUUAAAGACGAUGACGUUGAUAGGCCGGGUGUGUAAGCGCAGCGAUGCGUUGAGCUAACCGGUACUAAUGAACCGUGAGGCUUAACCUU
This 2902-nucleotide ribosomal RNA is filed under the name Klebsiella pneumoniae. RNAcentral describes it as "23S ribosomal RNA". It matches the Rfam family "Bacterial large subunit ribosomal RNA". The record is from RNAcentral. Lineage: Bacteria; Pseudomonadati; Pseudomonadota; Gammaproteobacteria; Enterobacterales; Enterobacteriaceae.